Molecule: ribosomal RNA, 396 nt
Filed under: Limosilactobacillus oris
Lineage: Bacteria; Bacillati; Bacillota; Bacilli; Lactobacillales; Lactobacillaceae
Description: bacterial SSU rRNA
Rfam family: Bacterial small subunit ribosomal RNA
Source: RNAcentral
CUGCAUGAGCACCCGCGUGAGUGAGAAGGGUUUCGGCUCGUAAAACUCUGUUGUUGGAGAAGAACGUGCGUAAGAGUAACUGUUUACGCAGUGACGGUAUCCAACCAGAAAGUCACGGCUAACUACGUGCCAGCAGCCGCGGUAAUACGUAGGUGGCAAGCGUUAUCCGGAUUUAUUGGGCGUAAAGCGAGCGCAGGCGGUUGCUUAGGUCUGAUGUGAAAGCCUUCGGCUUAACCGAAGAAGUGCAUCGGAAACCGGGCGACUUGAGUGCAGAAGAGGACAGUGGAACUCCAUGUGUAGCGGUGGAAUGCGUAGAUAUAUGGAAGAACACCAGUGGCGAAGGCGGCUGUCUGGUCUGCAACUGACGCUGAGGCUCGAAAGCAUGGGUAGCGAACA